Molecule: long non-coding RNA, 241 nt
Filed under: Elaeis guineensis (African oil palm)
Lineage: Eukaryota; Viridiplantae; Streptophyta; Magnoliopsida; Arecales; Arecaceae
Description: long non-coding RNA (EGUI_LNC000286)
Source: RNAcentral
UUUCACGGAGCACUGAAUGAAUAGAUCGACUAACUUCUAGGAGAUUCUUCCGUGCCUAUUAUCCAAAAUUAUAUUUUUACAUUAAUUUUAAUUCAAAAUUUAAUCUAAAUAGAUCCCAAAUCAAAACCUCACUUAAAAUCAGAAUCUUUCCUAAACUCGAUCAAAAUCAUCAAAUAAAACCUUCCACUACGCUAAUCCUAGAGGAAUAACUUUAAAGAGAGAGGAAUCCAUCAAGAGAGAG